AUCGCUUCUCAGCCUUUUGGCUAAGAUCAAAUGUAGUAUCUGUUCUUAUCAGUUCAAAAAUCUCCCUACAAACCAGGGCCAGAUGGCUUCCCAGGGGCAUUCCACCAGACAUUUAAAGAAGAGUUUACACCUCUUUUUCUCAAAAUGCUCCAAAAAAUAGAAAUGGAAGAAUAACUUCCAAACUCAU
Small nuclear RNA from Lontra canadensis (Northern American river otter), 187 nucleotides. RefSeq annotates it as U2 spliceosomal RNA. The record is from RefSeq and is a predicted model, not a curated record. Lineage: Eukaryota; Metazoa; Chordata; Mammalia; Carnivora; Mustelidae. The transcript has a single exon.